Molecule: ribosomal RNA, 253 nt
Filed under: uncultured bacterium
Lineage: Bacteria
Description: partial 16S ribosomal RNA
Rfam family: Bacterial small subunit ribosomal RNA
Source: RNAcentral
UACAGAGGGUGCAAGCGUUGUUCGGAAUUACUGGGCGUAAAGCGCGUGUAGGUGGCGAUGUAAGUCGGGUGUGAAAUCCCUCGCUACACGAGGAAGUGCACUCGAUACUGUGUCGCUUGAGUGUUGGAGGGGAUGGCGGAAUUCCCGUAGUGUGAGCGGUGAAAUGCGUAGAUAUCUGGAGGAACACCGGUGGCGAAGGCGCAUCCUGGACCGGCAUUGACGCUGAGGCGCGAAAGCCAGGGGAGCAAACGGG